This is a long non-coding RNA of Cyprinus carpio carpio, 840 nucleotides long. Lineage: Eukaryota; Metazoa; Chordata; Actinopteri; Cypriniformes; Cyprinidae. The record is from Ensembl.
CUACAUUUAAUCAAAAUGGGCACACUUUUAUUGUAGUUAUUAGCGAGCAUGCGCGUCUAGAUAUUGUUAUGACUUUAAUUAUGACAUAAAAGAAGAACUGUUGAAGCGAAAUCCGAUUCGCGUGAAAAAGCUGGAUUUCUAGCAGCUCGCGCUCACAGCCAUUUAAUCACCUGACCUGUAGCGCAAUGUCACGCGACCUCAGAGCGUUUGAAUCAGGUGCGUUUGAAGUUGAUAAGGAGGCAGGCGCUGGCGGUGUCAACAUUACAGAAUUUUAAUUGACUUUAGGAGAUGAGUUGGAGUAUACAGAGGAACCACCAAAUGCUAUCAAGAACUCAUCAGCCCAGACGCUUUGUCCAUGCGUGAAAUCUUGGCCUUUCUGACCACUUUUUGCUUUGAGAAGAUCAGCUUUUUGAACCUUUCAAAUGGUUUCUCACUUCUUACAGUGGACGGGAACAUUUACGGUGGGAGAACAGAUGAAUGUUUUCCAGUCACUGAAGCCCAGCUCCUUGUUCAUUUGGCCAAUUGCUAAUAAAAGAGGAUGUCAAAGACUGAAGUUUUCGUAUCUUAAAGUUAAAAAUGCAGUCGAGCUCCUGAAGACCUGAUGUGGAUGCUUAGAACUUUUCCAACUAGAAUUCCCAACACCUCUUCUUUCUUCUUUAGAGUCUUGUGGAAAAGAUUAAAAAGGUAAACAUUUCCUUGCACUUACAGAGAGAGACUAUUUAUAUAAGUUAUGCAUGGACAUACAGUAUAGUUUGGCUGAUGUUGAUAAGGCUCGCGUGAAACUAAAUGGUAGCAUCUGUUAAGUUCUUGUCGUUUCAGCAGGAAUGGCACACAAUGGGG